RNAcentral lists this ribosomal RNA (565 nucleotides) under Rhizopus arrhizus. RNAcentral describes it as "partial large subunit ribosomal RNA". It matches the Rfam family "Eukaryotic large subunit ribosomal RNA", at positions 74 to 654 of the family's 3401-position model. Lineage: Eukaryota; Fungi; Mucoromycota; Mucoromycetes; Mucorales; Rhizopodaceae. The record is from RNAcentral.
AUUUCCCUAGUAACGGCGAGUGAAGAGGAAAGAGCUCAAAUUUGAAAGCUGGCUCCUUCGGAGUCCGCAUUGUAAUUUGCAGAGGAUGCUUUGGGUGCGGCCCCCGUCUAAGUGCCCUGGAACGGGCCGUCAGAGAGGGUGAGAAUCCCGUCUUGGGCGGGGUGUCCGUGCCCGUGUAAAGCUCCUUCGACGAGUCGAGUUGUUUGGGAAUGCAGCUCUAAAUGGGUGGUAAAUUUCAUCUAAAGCUAAAUACUGGCCGGAGACCGAUAGCGCACAAGUAGAGUGAUCGAAAGAUGAAAAGCACUUUGAAAAGAGAGUUAAACAGCACGUGAAAUUGUUGAAAGGGAAGCGCUUGCGACCAGACUCGCCCGCGGGGUUCAGCCGGCAUUCGUGCCGGUGUACUUCCCCGUGGGCGGGCCAGCGUCGGUUUGGGCGGCCGGUCAAAGGCCCCUGGAAUGUAGUACCCUCCGGGGUACCUUAUAGCCAGGGGUGCAAUGCGGCCAGCCUGGACCGAGGAACGCGCUUCGGCACGGACGCUGCCAUAAUGGUCGAAAACGACCCGUCU